RNAcentral lists this ribosomal RNA (421 nucleotides) under uncultured bacterium. Its description in RNAcentral is "partial 16S ribosomal RNA". It matches the Rfam family "Bacterial small subunit ribosomal RNA", at positions 359 to 773 of the family's 1533-position model. The record is from RNAcentral.
GAUUUUGGACAAUGGGGGCAACCCUGAUCCAGCCAUCCCGCGUGUGUGAUGAAGGCCUUCGGGUUGUAAAGCACUUUUGGCCGGAAAGAAAUGAACUGGGUUAAUACCCUGGGUGGAUGACGGUACCUGCAGAAUAAGCACCGGCUAACUAUGUGCCAGCAGCCGCGGUAAUACGUAGGGUGCAAGCGUUAAUCGGAAUUACUGGGCGUAAAGCGUGCGCAGGCGGUUCGGCAAGAAGGAUGUGAAAUCCCGGGGCUUAACCUCGGAACUGCAUUCUUAACUGCCGGGCUAGAGUAUGUCAGAGGGGGGUAGAAUUCCGCGUGUAGCAGUGAAAUGCGUAGAGAUGCGGAGGAAUACCGAUGGCGAAGGCAGCCCCCUGGGAUAAUACUGACGCUCAUGCACGAAAGCGUGGGGAGCAAAC